RNAcentral lists this ribosomal RNA (490 nucleotides) under uncultured bacterium. Its description in RNAcentral is "partial 16S ribosomal RNA". It matches the Rfam family "Bacterial small subunit ribosomal RNA", at positions 29 to 505 of the family's 1533-position model. The record is from RNAcentral.
AGUGAACGCUGGCGGUAGGCCUAACACAUGCAAGUCGAACGGCAGCACAGUAAGAGCUUGCUCUUACGGGUGGCGAGUGGCGGACGGGUGAGGAAUACAUCGGAAUCUACUUUUUCGUGGGGGAUAACGUAGGGAAACUUACGCUAAUACCGCAUACGACCUACGGGUGAAAGCAGGGGAUCUUCGGACCUUGCGCGAUUGAAUGAGCCGAUGUCGGAUUAGCUAGUUGGCGGGGUAAAGGCCCACCAAGGCGACGAUCCGUAGCUGGUCUGAGAGGAUGAUCAGCCACACUGGAACUGAGACACGGUCCAGACUCCUACGGGAGGCAGCAGUGGGGAAUAUUGGACAAUGGGCGCAAGCCUGAUCCAGCCAUACCGCGUGGGUGAAGAAGGCCUUCGGGUUGUAAAGCCCUUUUGUUGGGAAAGAAAAGCAGCAGGUUAAUACCCCGCUGUUCUGACGGUACCCAAAGAAUAAGCACCGGCCAACUUCG